AUUAUCUAAUUAAAAAUUAAAUAAAAAAAAAUAUAGCCAAUCAUAAAUUCACAUUUGAAACAUGGGUACCUCAUAUUCAGAAGAACGCUUUUUUAAAAAGGGACGACUCUCUCUUUUCUGGUUCAUCUCUCCUGCUUUUGUAAUUCUUUAUUAAUUAGAACAUGAGAAAUUGAGUGGAAGAGACCACCGAUGCGUGUGCUCUCAGGUCGCAAAUCUAAAAAUAUUAUUAAUAUAGACCGAAUAAAGACCCGAAUCAAA
This 258-nucleotide long non-coding RNA is filed under the name Brassica napus (rape). RNAcentral's name for it is "long non-coding RNA (BNAP_LNC017159)". Lineage: Eukaryota; Viridiplantae; Streptophyta; Magnoliopsida; Brassicales; Brassicaceae. The record is from RNAcentral.